GUGCUUGUAGCUCAGUAGAUAGGGCGUUUAUUUCCUAAGCUGAAGGUCGCAGGUUCGACCCCUACCUGGCGCG
Non-coding RNA from Nicotiana attenuata, 73 nucleotides. The record is from Rfam. Lineage: Eukaryota; Viridiplantae; Streptophyta; Magnoliopsida; Solanales; Solanaceae.